This 116-nucleotide small nucleolar RNA is filed under the name Tupaia belangeri (northern tree shrew). RNAcentral describes it as "Small nucleolar RNA U3 (ENSTBEG00000020939.1)". The stretch from base 1 to 100 matches the Rfam family "Small nucleolar RNA U3". From Rfam's summary of the family: Small nucleolar RNAs (snoRNAs) are involved in the processing and modification of rRNA in the nucleolus. There are two main classes of snoRNAs: the box C/D class, and the box H/ACA class. U3 snoRNA is a member of the box C/D class. The record is from RNAcentral. Lineage: Eukaryota; Metazoa; Chordata; Mammalia; Scandentia; Tupaiidae.
AAGACUAUACUUUCAGGGAUCAUUUCUAUAGUACUUUACUAGAGAAGUUUUUCUGAUCGUGUAGAGCACCGAAAAGAAAAAAAAAAAAAGAUUCCCAUGAGAAUGUGUGUCAUUUC